AGGACGAACGCUGGCGGCGUGCUUAACACAUGCAAGUCGAGCGGAAAGGCCCUUCGGGGUACUCGAGCGGCGAACGGGUGAGUAACACGUGGGCAACCUGCCCCUAGCUCUGGGAUAACUCCGGGAAACCGGGGCUAAUACCGGAUACGACCUCGGACGGCAUCUUCUGAGGUGGAAAGUUUUUCGGCUAGGGAUGGGCCCGCGGCCUAUCAGCUUGUUGGUGGGGUCACGGCCCACCAAGGCGACGACGGGUAGCCGGCCUGAGAGGGCGACCGGCCACACUGGGACUGAGACACGGCCCAGACUCCUACGGGAGGCAGCAGUGGGGAAUAUUGCGCAAUGGGCGAAAGCCUGACGCAGCGACGCCGCGUGAGGGAUGAAGGCCUUCGGGUUGUAAACCUCUUUCAGCAGGGACGAAGCGAGAGUGACGGUACCUGCAGAAGAAGCACCGGCCAACUACGUGCCAGCAGCCGC
Molecule: ribosomal RNA, 474 nt
Filed under: uncultured soil bacterium
Lineage: Bacteria
Description: bacterial SSU rRNA
Rfam family: Bacterial small subunit ribosomal RNA
Source: RNAcentral